Molecule: small nucleolar RNA, 138 nt
Organism: Ornithorhynchus anatinus (platypus)
Lineage: Eukaryota; Metazoa; Chordata; Mammalia; Monotremata; Ornithorhynchidae
Source: RefSeq, a predicted model, not a curated record
UCCCUCUCAGGAUUGCACCUGGAGAGUUUCCAGGACUCUACCAGCCAAGACUACAGGAGGGAGAGUCAAGCAGAGGCCCAACCAUUCCAUUCCUAGCUUGGGCAGUGGCUAAUGAGUGGAAGGCAAUCUGCUACAAAU